AGUGAACGCUGGCGGUAGGCCUAACACAUGCAAGUCGAACGGCAGCACAGUAAGAGCUUGCUCUUACGGGUGGCGAGUGGCGGACGGGUGAGGAAUACAUCGGAAUCUACUUUUUCGUGGGGGAUAACGUAGGGAAACUUACGCUAAUACCGCAUACGACCUACGGGUGAAAGCAGGGGAUCUUCGGACCUUGCGCGAUUGAAUGAGCCGAUGUCGGAUUAGCUAGUUGGCGGGGUAAAGGCCCACCAAGGCGACGAUCCGUAGCUGGUCUGAGAGGACGAUCAGCCACACUGGAACUGAGACACGGUCCAGACUCCUACGGGAGGCAGCAGUGGGGAAUAUUGGACAAUGGGCGCAAGCCUGAUCCAGCCAUACCGCGUGGGUGAAGAAGGCCUUCGGGUUGUAAAGCCCUUUUGUUGGGAAAGAAAAGCAGCAGGCUAAUACCCCGCUGUUCUGACGGUACCCAAAGAAUAAGCACCGGCUAACUUCGUG
This 492-nucleotide ribosomal RNA is filed under the name uncultured bacterium. RNAcentral describes it as "partial 16S ribosomal RNA". It matches the Rfam family "Bacterial small subunit ribosomal RNA", at positions 29 to 507 of the family's 1533-position model. The record is from RNAcentral.